This 227-nucleotide long non-coding RNA is filed under the name Medicago truncatula (barrel medic). Its description in RNAcentral is "lncRNA gene10897". Lineage: Eukaryota; Viridiplantae; Streptophyta; Magnoliopsida; Fabales; Fabaceae. The record is from RNAcentral.
UUUCAUAACAAAACUUAUAUCCGCGACAUGUAACGACACUUUUUUCGCUAAAAAAUGUAUACUUUACAACGAAAAAAAAACAUUUUCCUAAACAAAUUUUGGUGAGUAGAAACGUUACUCCUAACUUAUGUAUAGUCGCAUAUACAUCUAUUGACCAAGCACAUCGCAUAUUUUGGAUCUGAACAGUAAGACUCACACUCACUAUCAGAAGUGCAGUAACUUUCAAA